RNAcentral lists this ribosomal RNA (677 nucleotides) under uncultured bacterium. Its description in RNAcentral is "bacterial SSU rRNA". It matches the Rfam family "Bacterial small subunit ribosomal RNA", at positions 8 to 722 of the family's 1533-position model. The record is from RNAcentral.
AGAGUUCGAUCAUGGCUCAGGAUGAACGCUGGCGGUAUGCUUUACACAUGCAAGUCGAACGGAAGUGUGCUUGCACACUUGAGUGGCGGACGGGUGAGUAACACGUAAGAAUUUGCCUUUAGGAGGGGGACACACUGGAAACGGUAGCUAAUACCCCAUAUGCUUUCGAGUGAAAUGGAUCUUUCCGCCUAGAGAGAAGCUUGCGGCUGAUUAGCUUGUUGGUAAGGUAAUGGCUUACCAAGGCGACGAUCAGUAUCUGGUUUGAGAGGACGAUCAGACUCACUGGAACUGAGACACGGUCCAGACUCCUACGGGAGGCAGCAGUGGGGAAUUUUCCGCAAUGGGCGAAAGCCUGACGGAGCAAUACCGCGUGAGGGAUGACGGCCUAUGGGUUGUAAACCUCUUUUUUCAGGGAGGAAAAAAAUGACGUUACCUGAAGAAUAAGCAUCGGCUAACUCCGUGCCAGCAGCCGCGGUAAGACGGAGGAUGCAAGUGUUAUCCGGAAUCACUGGGCGUAAAGCGUCUGUAGGUGGUUUAAUAAGUCAACUGUUAAAUCUUGAGGCUCAACCUCGAAACCGCAGUCGAAACUAUUAGACUAGAGUCUAGUAGGGGUAAAGGGAAUUUCCAGUGGAGCGGUGAAAUGCGUAGAGAUUGGAAAGAACACCGAUGGCGAAGGC